GGGCCCUAGGGGCAACCCUGGCAGCUUGAGUCAGCUCCCUCCUCUGAUGUCCUCCUCUGAUGUCCAGUUACUCUAAGGAGAGUGUUUUUGAGGGCCUACUCUGUGCAGGUACUAUGCUGGGUACUGGAGUACAAGCACGCGGAGGACUCAGUCCCUGCCCUUGAGAAACCACAGGAUGGUGGAGGAGACAGAUAAUCAGUGCCUUCUGCACAGAGUGCAGAAUUGGAACACUCUGUCUUGGCAAGUCAUGCCUCCUUGGAGAGCGUUCAGAAGGAGCUGCCCUUUCUGGCCCGGAGCAAACCGAACCUCAGACCUGGAACACUCCUUCAUUCGGCUGACUGCUGCUGCCUCAGCAUCAUCCCUGUGGAAGCCUGCUUCACGUACCGAUGAGGUCGCCCUCCUGUCUGCAUCCCUGAGAGUCAUGGUUACGAUUCUGCACUGGGGGCUUCUUCCCCCACUAGCCUGACACUGUGCUCAGAGAGCUUGUCGCUUGCCCAGUAUCUCACAACAAGGACUCAAACGGAGCUCCCGCUGGCUCCCACCUCCCGGCCUCUGCUCCCUGACACUGGGGAUCCACGACCCCACACCCUCCCAUCUCCUUCCCGGCUCAUCUCCUUCCCAGCUCGUUUCCUCCGGAUGAUAAGAGCUGGGUGGUAAUAUUACAUACUCUUCCUUUCCAAUUGCAACUCUUCAUUGCUUUUGGCAGCAAAAGCUCUGCUCAGGGUCAAGAUGAGAGAGUGACUGGUACUAGCCAAAGAAAAUUGAGAUGGAUUCUUACAGCGCAUUGAAUGAGGGCCCCCCAAAUAUAUGUCUGCAUCCUGAUCCCCAGAAUCUGUGCAUGUUACUUGAUCUGGAAAAAGGGUCUUUGCAGACAUAAUUCAAUUAAGAAUCUUGAGAUGACAUCUCCCUGGAUUAUCCAGUGGGCUUUAAAUUAGAUGACCUGUGUCCUUAUUAUUAGAAGGGCAGAGAGAGGUUUGAAACAGACAGAAGAGAAGACGAUGCUGAGAGGAGAAGGCGGUGUGAAGACAGAGGCAGAGAUUGGACUGAUGUGGUUACAAACCAAGGAGUGUCGGCAGCCACUAGAAAGGAAGAGAGAGUCAUGGAGUGGAUUCCCUCCCAGAGCCUCGGAAGGAAGUGUGGCCCCACUGACAGCACGAUUGUGGACUUCUGCCUCCAGAACUUGAGAGAGUACAUUUCUAUUGUUUUAACUCAUCCAGUUGGCGGUAAUUUGUUACAGCAGCCCUAUGAAAGUAAUAGAAUUCUCAAAUGCUAUCUGCUCACAAAUUUCAACGUGAAAGAUAUAAACACCCAAACCUCAGUCCAGAUUCCAAUGGUGAGAAGCCCCCAUGGAAGCCUCGACAGCCCCUUUGGACUCAGCAGUCCCGCGGAGUAUUUCCCCAGGGUUUCCUGACGCCCCUGCCUCCUCCCUCAGAGCUUUGACCCUGCCACUCUAUUGCGGGUCCUGUGUAACCUUCCCCAGAAAUACACUUGGCUGAGCCCCACACCGCAG
This 1510-nucleotide long non-coding RNA is filed under the name Equus caballus (horse). RNAcentral's name for it is "lncRNA (ENSECAG00000035915.3)". Lineage: Eukaryota; Metazoa; Chordata; Mammalia; Perissodactyla; Equidae. The record is from RNAcentral.